RNAcentral lists this ribosomal RNA (335 nucleotides) under uncultured Pseudomonadota bacterium. RNAcentral's name for it is "bacterial SSU rRNA". It matches the Rfam family "Bacterial small subunit ribosomal RNA", at positions 29 to 351 of the family's 1533-position model. Lineage: Bacteria; Pseudomonadati; Pseudomonadota. The record is from RNAcentral.
AGCGAACGCUGGCGGCGUGCUUAACACAUGCAAGUCGAACGUGAACGGGGGCAACCCUUAGUAAAGUGGCGUACGGGUGAGUAACGCGUAGACAAUCUACCUAAGUGUUUGGAAUAACCUGCCGAAAGGCGGGCUAAUACUGGAUAGAGCGAUGGAACUCGUAAUGAGUUUUUCGGGAAAGGGAGGCAGCAAUGCCCCUCGCACUUAGAUGAGUCUGCGUCCCAUCAGCUAGUUGGUAAGGUAACGGCUUACCAAGGCGAUGACGGGUAGCUGGUCUGAGAGGAUGAUCAGCCACACUGGAACUGAAACACGGUCCAGACUCCUACGGGUGGCAG